Molecule: long non-coding RNA, 349 nt
Organism: Alligator sinensis (Chinese alligator)
Lineage: Eukaryota; Metazoa; Chordata; Crocodylia; Alligatoridae
Exons: 2
Source: RefSeq, a predicted model, not a curated record
CAGGGUGCGGCUCGGGCCCGGCCCGGCCCGGCGGGACUCGCUUGGCGGCUGCUCGCGCACAGGCAACUCGGGCCGGGCCGGUGCGGAGCCGGCGAUGGCCUCAAAUCGUGGGAGCUGAGCGGUGCCAGCUGCAAUUGUUGCAUUCCUCAGAUUCACCGAGGCGGCGGCGGGGGGGGCUCUGCCAACUGGCCUGUGCUUUGCUUCAGCAGUUGCUUAUUUCCCCCCCUUCAUCAGUGGGAGGAUUUAAGGUGAACUGCAAAGGCGGUCUGGAAAGCAUCCGAGAAAUCUGUUUUGCAGUGUGCAGGAAACGCUGGUGAAGAGUUCUGCAGAUGGCACUUGUCCGUCCCAG